This 68-nucleotide transfer RNA is filed under the name Marmota monax (woodchuck). Its description in RNAcentral is "tRNA.Ala". The record is from RNAcentral. Lineage: Eukaryota; Metazoa; Chordata; Mammalia; Rodentia; Sciuridae.
GUUGUAGCUCAGUGGCAGAGCAUUCGCCUAGCAUGUUGGAGGCACUGGGUUUGAUCCUCAGCAUGACA